This is a non-coding RNA of Caenorhabditis elegans, 222 nucleotides long. The record is from Ensembl. Lineage: Eukaryota; Metazoa; Nematoda; Chromadorea; Rhabditida; Rhabditidae.
UCAUGCCUGCCUCCUGCCUGCCUACAGGCGUAUCUGCUGCCUAAGUGCCCACGACAAUUGUUUUAAAUUGGACUUUCAACAGUUGCAUUGUACUGAGUGAUUUUGUAUAUCUACACUGUGCUCUCAUAGCCAGAUUUCUUGCCAAAAUGCGGAAAUAGGCGGUAGGCAAGUGGGCAAGUGCUUGCCUACCAUUCGGUACCAUAUAUUGAAUCAACUGCCAUA